ACGAAGGGGGGCUAGCGUUGCUCGGAAUGACUGGGCGUAAAGGGCGCGUAGGCGGCGAUCACCGUCAGAUGUGAAAUUCCUGGGCUUAACCUGGGGGCUGCAUUUGAUACGUGGUCGCUGGAGUGCGGAAGAGGGUCGUGGAAUUCCCAGUGUAGAGGUGAAAUUCGUAGAUAUUGGGAAGAACACCGGUGGCGAAGGCGGCGACCUGGUCCGUGACUGACACUGAGAGACGAAAGCUAGGGGAGCAAAUGGGA
Molecule: ribosomal RNA, 254 nt
Filed under: uncultured prokaryote
Description: partial 16S ribosomal RNA
Rfam family: Bacterial small subunit ribosomal RNA
Source: RNAcentral